Molecule: long non-coding RNA, 1465 nt
Filed under: Felis catus (domestic cat)
Lineage: Eukaryota; Metazoa; Chordata; Mammalia; Carnivora; Felidae
Description: lncRNA (ENSFCAG00000052523.1)
Source: RNAcentral
AAAACCUUAAGUAUUUCCUCCAUAGCCAGCUUAUGUCUUCUUGGCCUAAUAAAUGGGAAUCUCGAUAAAUAUUUUACUGUAUUGAUUCAUUUAGAUGGAGUGGGAGUCACUAAGCAGUGGAAUAAGUUUCAAACGCAGUCCUCAAGCAAAUAUUUUAGAAAGGGCCCCUUGCCCUUAAUUCAUGUCAAAAUAUAUUCAGAAACCCUCCCACCCUGUCUCUUGCCAAAACUCAAAGGCUGCCUUGGAGAUAUUUAUGCCCCUUGGGAGAAUCUGCCAGUGUGCAGUUGUCUUUACUGGGUAGUGAGAAUACCGCAGCCCCUCCGUGUCGCCAGCUCUGGUUCAGACAGACGGGCCUGUCUUCUGCCUCCGGGACUCCUGGGUCUCCGCCAGAUCCUGGGCAGUAAGAAACUAAUACAACCUAUUGCGAGCGAUCAGAUCACGCCUGCUAGCUUGAGAGAGGAAUGACUUGGCAAAUCGAUGGCUCCGCGUGAAUCUUCAUACAGUUUCCCCGACCGACCGCCGUCCCCCCUGUUCGGGUGAGCUCACAGUAGAAUUGUUUGCGGAUUUUUCACGUACUUAUGCUAAGUGAAAAAUACAUGGUGAGAGGCUUAAAUCUAUCUAAUUACUGACGUCUUCAUACAUCUUUGUUGGGGAUUAUCCUACAGUAUUCGUGUUCUAGGACUGCUGAUACAAAGUGCCACAGACUGGGAGCUUAAACAACAGAAAUCUAUUUUCUCACAGGUCUAGAGGCUGGAAGCCCAAGAGAAAGGUAUCUUCUGAGACCUUUCUGCUUGUCUUGCGGGCGGCCUCCUUCUUGCCGUGUCCUCGCAUGGCCUUUCCUCUGUACCUGCACAUGUCUGUGUCCAAAUUUCCUCUUCUUGUAAGGACACCAGUAGUAUUGGAUGAGGACCCGUCCUAAAAUUACCAAAAAACAAUUUGAACUUAAUUACCUUUUACGUUUAUUUAUUUUGAGAGAGAGAGAGAGCAGCCUGAGCAGGGGAGGAGCAGAGAGAGAGGAGCGCGAGAAUCCCGAGCAGGCUCUGCACUGUGAGCGCAAAGCCCGUCACGGGGCUCCAUCUCGAGAACUGUGAGAUCAUGACCUGAGCUGAAAUCAAGAGUCUGACACUUAACUCGCUGAGCCACCCAGCAGCCCCUAACUUAAUUACCUUUUCACAGGCCCGAUUCCUGGUCAUUUCCCUAGGUACCGGGGGUUCAGGCUCCAACAUGUGAAUCGUGGGGGAGACACAUUCCAACCCAUAACCUCUAUACUAGCUACAGGUGGGAGAGAGUCUGUGCCAGCCAAACAGAUCAGACUGUGUAGACCACUGAAGUGACACGUCAAGACUAUUCACCAUAAUUCCACAUUCUUUCUGCUUCAGUACACUCAAGUGUACUAUGAUAUGAGUCCAUUGGAACUGUCUCGCUUUGUCACCUUCUGGCCCACAAGAAUAUGUUGCAGAGACCA